AGCUCCAGUGGCAUAUAUUAGAGUUGUUGCGGUUGAAAGGCUCGUAGUUGGAUGUCUGCUGGGGGUGGCUGGUCCGCCCUUUGGGCGAGUAUCUGGUGCAAUCUGGGCAUAAUUCUGCAAGCUGCAACUGCACUUGACUGUGUGGUGCGGUGUUGAGAGCUUUUACUUUGAGGAAACGAGAGUGUUCAAAGCAAGUGUCUGCUGUGAGUACAGAAGCAUGGAAUAAUGGUAUCCGACCUUGGUUUCAUUUUGUUGGUUUCUGGAACAGGGGUAUUGGCAAACAGGGAUGGUUGGGGGCAUCUGUAUUUGACUGUCAGAGGUGAAAUUCUUGGAUUUGUCAAGGAUGGACUACUGCGAAGGCAUUUGUCAAGGAUGUCUUCAUUGAUCAAGAACGAAAGUA
Molecule: ribosomal RNA, 400 nt
Filed under: phytoplankton environmental sample
Lineage: Eukaryota
Description: partial small subunit ribosomal RNA
Rfam family: Eukaryotic small subunit ribosomal RNA
Source: RNAcentral